AGUGAACGCUGGCGGUAUGCCUAACACAUGCAAGUCGAACGAACGGACGGUAAGCGUUUGCCCCUACUGUUGGCGGCGGGCGGACGGGUAAGGCGUACAUCGCCAUCUUAUAAUUCGGGGAGAAUAACGGAGAACCGGUGAUAAUAAUAGCUCAUACGUUGUACGGGAGAGAGCAAGAGUGAUAGACGCUCUUGCUGAUACAUUUAGAUGGUUCCGGGUUGGAUUAGCUAGUUGGUAAGGUAACGGCCUACCAAGGCAACGAUGCAUAGCCGAGCUGAGAGGGUGAUCGGCCACACUGGAACUGAGACACGGUCCAGACUCCUACGGGAGGCAGCAGUGGGGAAUCUUCCGCAAUGGGCGAAAGCCUGACGGAGCAACGCCGCGUGAGUGAUGAAGGUCUUCGGAUCGUAAAGCCCUGUUAUUAGGGAAGAACAUCUGUGUAAUUAACUGUGCCUAUCUUGACGGUACCUAAUCAGAAAGCCCCGGCUAACUUCGUG
This 497-nucleotide ribosomal RNA is filed under the name uncultured bacterium. RNAcentral describes it as "partial 16S ribosomal RNA". It matches the Rfam family "Bacterial small subunit ribosomal RNA", at positions 29 to 507 of the family's 1533-position model. The record is from RNAcentral.